This 425-nucleotide ribosomal RNA is filed under the name uncultured bacterium. RNAcentral's name for it is "partial 16S ribosomal RNA". It matches the Rfam family "Bacterial small subunit ribosomal RNA", at positions 354 to 796 of the family's 1533-position model. The record is from RNAcentral.
GUGGGGAAUCUUGCGCAAUGGGCGAAAGCCUGACGCAGCCAUGCCGCGUGAAUGAUGAAGGUCUUAGGAUUGUAAAAUUCUUUCACCGGGGACGAUAAUGACGGUACCCGGAGAAGAAGCUCCGGCUAACUUCGUGCCAGCAGCCGCGGUAAUACGAAGGGGGCUAGCGUUGCUCGGAAUUACUGGGCGUAAAGGGCGCGUAGGCGGACAGCUUAGUCAGAGGUGAAAGCCCAGGGCUCAACCUUGGAAUUGCCUUUGAUACUGGCUGUCUUGAGUUUGGGAGAGGUGAGUGGAACUCCGAGUGUAGAGGUGAAAUUCGUAGAUAUUCGGAAGAACACCAGUGGCGAAGGCGACUCACUGGCCCAAUACUGACGCUGAGGCGCGAAAGCGUGGGGAGCAAUCAGGAUUAGAAACCCGAGUAGUCC